AGAGUUUGAUCCUGGCUCAGGAUGAACACUGGCGGCGUGCUUAACACAUGCAAGUCGAACGAAGCACCUGAGAAUGAUUCUUCGGAUGAAGUCUCUUGUGACUGAGUGGCGGACGGGUGAGUAACGCGUGGGUAACCUGCCUCACACAGGGGGAUAACAGUUGGAAACGACCGCUAAUACCGCAUAACCCGCUGGUGCCGCAUGGCACUGACGGAAAAGAUUUUAUCGGUGUGAGAUGGACCCGCGUCUGAUUAGCCAGUUGGCAGGGUAACGGCCUACCAAAGCGACGAUCAGUAGCCGGCCUGAGAGGGUGAACGGCCACAUUGGGACUGAGACACGGCCCAGACUCCUGCGGGAGGCAGCAGUGGGGAAUAUUGCACAAUGGGGGAAACCCUGAUGCAGCGACGCCGCGUGAGUGAAGAAGUAUUUCGGUAUGUAAAGCUCUAUCAGCAGGGAAGGAAAUGACGGUACCUGAUUAAGAAGCCCCGGCUAACUACGUGCCAGCAGCCGCGG
Molecule: ribosomal RNA, 513 nt
Filed under: uncultured bacterium
Lineage: Bacteria
Description: bacterial SSU rRNA
Rfam family: Bacterial small subunit ribosomal RNA
Source: RNAcentral